This 254-nucleotide ribosomal RNA is filed under the name uncultured bacterium. RNAcentral's name for it is "partial 16S ribosomal RNA". It matches the Rfam family "Bacterial small subunit ribosomal RNA", at positions 524 to 776 of the family's 1533-position model. The record is from RNAcentral.
UACGUAGGGUGCGAGCGUUAAUCGGAAUUACUGGGCGUAAAGCGUGCGCAGGCGGUUUUGUAAGCCAGAUGUGAAAUCCCCGGGCUUAACCUGGGAAUGGCAUUUGGGACUGCAAGGCUUGAGUUUGGCAGAGGAGACUGGAAUUCCUGGUGUAGCGGUGGAAUGCGCAGAUAUCAGGAGGAACACCGAUGGCGAAGGCAGCUCGCUGGGACGGUACUGACGGCUGAGGCGCGAAAGCGUGGGGAGCGAACAGG